AGGUUUUGUAAGGUUAAUUUUACUUGUUUAUUUUGGAAAGUAUUCUAGCUUCUUUUUAUUCUUAUUAUUUUUUAUUGAAUUGUUGAUUAUCUUAGAACUGUGAGGGUGUUAAAUUUUCUAAAGUUAAGUAAUAGUGUUGUACCUUUGGUAUCAGGGUCUAUCUAAAUUAGUUAUAUAUUUUCUAUUCCCGAAGAAAAGAGAGUUACCAGCCCAUGUAUCUUUUGUAGCAGAAAGGGAUUUAAUGGCCUAGGUAGAAGUGAGAUGUUAUUCGUUCUUUUGGUUAUCUGGUUCUUUUAGAAAUUUCUUAGGAAGGCGUUAGUGGUAGCAGAAAGUUUAUUAGGGAUAAGCUUAAUAUCUUAUUUUUAUAUAUGUAUAGGGUUUUGGGUGUUAAAGGAUUAAUAGUGUCUGUAGGUUUUGUAACUCAUUCAAUGUCUAUUUUAUUAAUUAGUUAUAAGAGGGUAUCUUGAAAUCUUUUUUGUUAGUAAUAAUGGUAGAAUUAGUAGAUUAAAUCUUAGUCUAAAUACUUAUGUGUUUUGUUUGAAGUACUUUGUUUUGUAUGUAUAGGUAAGGAACUAGGCAAAUAUUCUUCUUAACUGUUUAUCAAAAACAUUUCUUUAAGUAGGGAUUUAAAGUAUAUUCUGCCCCCUGAUUUAUCUAUUAAAUGGCCGCAGUAGCCUGACUGUGCUAAGGUAGCAUAAUCAUUAGGUUCUUAAUUGGGAUCUGGAAUGAAUGGAUGAAUAAGGAGUUACUGUCUAUCUAUAUUUUUUGAAUUUAAAUUUUUAGUAAUAAUGCUAGAAUGAGUUAGCGGGACGAUAAGACCCUAUAAAGCUUUACUAACUUAUAGUAAAAAUUUUUACUACCUUUAUGACUAAGUUUAGUUUUACUGGGGCGGUAGCUAGUUAACUUAGUUAAUUUUCUUUCUUUGUGGAUCCAUCUUUGGUGAAGUAAGAUUAAGUUACUUUAGGGAUAACAGCAUAAUAUACCUAUGGAGUUCUAAUCGAAGGGUAUGGUUGUGACCUCGAUGUUGAAUUAACCUAAUUGUAGGGUGAAGAAGCUUUACGAGUUAGUCUGUUCGACUAUUGAAGGGUUACGUGAUUUGAGUUCAAACCGGUUUAAGCCAGGUUGG
This 1126-nucleotide ribosomal RNA is filed under the name Leuronychus pacificus. Its description in RNAcentral is "partial 16S ribosomal RNA". The stretch from base 775 to 1126 matches the Rfam family "Bacterial large subunit ribosomal RNA", at positions 2045 to 2634 of the family's 2925-position model. The record is from RNAcentral. Lineage: Eukaryota; Metazoa; Arthropoda; Arachnida; Opiliones; Sclerosomatidae.